This 491-nucleotide ribosomal RNA is filed under the name Acetobacter pasteurianus. RNAcentral's name for it is "bacterial SSU rRNA". It matches the Rfam family "Bacterial small subunit ribosomal RNA", at positions 955 to 1430 of the family's 1533-position model. The record is from RNAcentral. Lineage: Bacteria; Pseudomonadati; Pseudomonadota; Alphaproteobacteria; Acetobacterales; Acetobacteraceae.
UGCAACAACGAAGAACCUUAUUAUGGUCUUGACAUGAUCGAGAACUUUCCAGAGAUGAUAUUGGUUUCCUUCGGGAAGUGCAACAUGAGGUGGUGGUAUGGUGGUCGUCGUGCAGCGUGUCGUGAGAUGAUGGGUUAAGUAGUCGCAACGAGCGCAACAACUUGUUGAUUAGUUGCCAGCUCGUAAUGGUGGGAACUCUAAGGGUGACCGCCGGUGACAAACCGGAGGAAGGUGGGGAUGACGUCAAGUCAUCAUGGCCCUUAAUGACCAGGGCUACACACGUACUACAAUGGUAGGGACAGAGGGCUGCAAACCCGCGAGGGCAAGCCAAUCCCAGAAACCCUUUCUCAGUUCGGAUUGGAGUCUGCAACUCGACUCCAUGAAGUUGGAAUCGCUAGUAAUCGCGGAUCAGCAUUGCUGCGGGGAAAAGGUUCCCGGCCCUGGAACACCCCCCCGGUCACACCAUGGGAGUUUUAAGCACCAGAAUCAGG